This 73-nucleotide transfer RNA is filed under the name Plantactinospora solaniradicis. RNAcentral's name for it is "tRNA-Gly". It matches the Rfam family "tRNA". From Rfam's summary of the family: Transfer RNA (tRNA) molecules are approximately 80 nucleotides in length. The record is from RNAcentral. Lineage: Bacteria; Bacillati; Actinomycetota; Actinomycetes; Micromonosporales; Micromonosporaceae. RNAcentral also lists the same sequence under 1 other name.
GCGGCUGUAGCUCAGUAGGCAGAGCGCGACAUUGCCAUUGUCGAGGCCCCCGGUUCGAACCCGGGUAGCCGCU